AGAAAGCUUGCUUUCUUGCUGACGAGUGGCGGACGGGUGAGUAAUGCUUGGGAAUCUGGCUUAUGGAGGGGGAUAACGACGGGAAACUGUCGCUAAUACCGCGUAGUGUCGAGAGACGAAAGUGCGGGACUGAGAGGCCGCAUGCCAUAGGAUGAGCCCAAGUGGGAUUAGGUAGUUGGUGGGGUAAAGGCCUACCAAGCCUGCGAUCUCUAGCUGGUCUGAGAGGAUGACCAGCCACACUGGAACUGAGACACGGUCCAGACUCCUACGGGAGGCAGCAGUGGGGAAUAUUGCGCAAUGGGGGGAACCCUGACGCAGCCAUGCCGCGUGAAUGAAGAAGGCCUUCGGGUUGUAAAGUUCUUUCGGUAUUGAGGAAGGUUGAUGUGUUAAUAGCACAUCAAAUUGACGUUAAAUACAGAAGAAGCACCGGCUAACUCCGUGCCAGCAGCCGCGGUAAUACGGAGGGUGCGAGCGUUAAUCGGAAUAACUGGGCGUAAAGGGCACGCAGGCGGUUAUUUAAGUGAGGUGUGAAAGCCCCGGGCUUAACCUGGGAAUUGCAUUUCAGACUGGGUAACUAGAGUACUUUAGGGAGGGGUAGAAUUCCACGCGUAGCGGUGAAAUGCGUAGAGAUGUGGAGGAAUACCGAAGGCGAAGGCAGCCCCUUGGGAAUGUACUGACGCUCAUGUGCGAAAGCGUGGGGAGCAAACAGGAUUAGAUANCCUGGUAGUCCACGCUGUAAACGCUGUCGAUUUGGGGGUUGGGGUUUAACUCUGGCG
RNAcentral lists this ribosomal RNA (776 nucleotides) under uncultured Haemophilus sp. Its description in RNAcentral is "bacterial SSU rRNA". It matches the Rfam family "Bacterial small subunit ribosomal RNA", at positions 73 to 844 of the family's 1533-position model. Lineage: Bacteria; Pseudomonadati; Pseudomonadota; Gammaproteobacteria; Pasteurellales; Pasteurellaceae. The record is from RNAcentral.